GUGGGGAAUUUUGGACAAUGGGGGAAACCCUGAUCCAGCGACGCCGAGUGAAGGAUGAAGGCCUUCGGGUUGUAAACUUCUUUUGGAGGGGACGAAUAAAUUGACGGUACCCUCAGAAAAAGCCACGGCUAACUACGUGCCAGCAGCCGCGGUAAUACGUAGGUGGCGAGCGUUACUCGGAAUUACUAGGCGUAAAGCGUAUGUAGGCGGUUGUAUAAGUCUAUGGUGAAAUUUCCUGGCUCAACUGGGAAGGGACAUAGAUACUGUAUGGCUUGAGUGUUGGAGGGGGAGACGGAAUUCCUGGUGUUGCGGUGAAAUGCGUAGAUAUCAGGAGGAACACCGAUGGCGAAAGCAGUCUCCUGGCCAAAUACUGACGCUGAGGUACGAAAGCUAGGGUAGCAAACAGGAUUAGAUACCCCUGUAGUCC
Molecule: ribosomal RNA, 427 nt
Filed under: uncultured bacterium
Lineage: Bacteria
Description: partial 16S ribosomal RNA
Rfam family: Bacterial small subunit ribosomal RNA
Source: RNAcentral